GGAUGACAGGAAUCCUGGUGUGAACGCCUUCAGUGGCAGGGAACGCGGGGUCUCCUCUGACUGUGAGCACCCACCCACCACCAGACAGGGCCUGCUUCAGGACUGGAAGGGUCCACGUCCACUGAUGGUUCUGCGCAGAGAAGGAAAGGGGAGUCAACCCCUCUGGGGCCUCUUCCAGCUCCAAGAUUCUGGAACAUGUCCCAGGUUGUCACAACAAAGGAUUCACAAAGGCUGUGCUGAAGCAUGCCCCGGGGUACACCAGGAGCGCUUUGAGGAGGGGCAGAGCAACCAUCACUGCCCAUGUCAGAACCAAGACACCAUGCACCAAGAGGAACCUCAGGUGCAGUGCGGGAACAUGAGACAUCUCCUUCCUAUAGUGAGGAUGUCUGUGCAUCUGCGGCUGAUAGGGUGUUACUCAUCAUCAUAUCUUAGAAGAACAGACCCGCCAAAACAUACAGUACAGAGUAUAGCUACGUUCCCCAAACUGGCCACAAAAAUAAUUUAUCAAAAUCCAAACUAGUUCCCUAUGGUGCCGCGUUUUCAGACCAACCCACAAUUCCACAAACAAAUGAUUUUGAAGACCCAAACAUUCACAUUCUUUGAGAAAUCUUGCAAUAUCGCUACAAACACUUUAAUCAGGGAGAGGCCACCACCCCACCAGAUUUAAGCUCCCCUAAAGCUGUUUGCUCCUUAGCAACCACGAGGCAUACCUCUCCAGGCUACUCUUUUGGAGUAUUUGCACAUUUCUACAAGGAUUAUCCCUGACUUAUAAAACCAUAGUUACCACCGUGCUCAUAAUCAUAACUUGUUAUUUUGACUCAACGUUCGAAAUAUUUGCAAUCUGUGAGAGUCAAGGUUUGUGGCCGAUGAGAUGGUCACUUGUUCCUGCUCUCAGAGUUGAGGGUGAAAGAGAUGCCCCAAUUCAGAGGCAAAUAAGGGCCAAAAGGGUGCCAAGUGUCAGUACUGGGUUUGAAGGCAUCGGGGAAGUCUUCAUGGGGGAGGUAACGGUGGAGAAUGGCCUCAGAAGCUGGGCCACUAGCUUUCGCCAGGCAGAGCUAGGGGACUGGGGCACAGGGCCCUCAGGCACAGGGUUGUGCGUCUGCUUGAGCUCAGGCCCGCUGCUGUGGUGAGGGGCCACACUGACGGGCCAUCGUAGAUCAGGCUGCCACAGAGUCAUCAGGGCUGGGAACCCUAAAAACUCAAUCUGGGACUUUAUCUGGUCACUAAGGGAUCGGUUGAGGUUUUGUAUAUGGAGCAAUGACAUAAUCCAAGCUGAAUGGCACAGGAUUCAUUUGGCCAUGCAGCAGAGGUGGCCCGAUAGCCAGAAAAACACGACAGGAGUCCAACAUAAUAAACGAUGUAUUAC
Molecule: long non-coding RNA, 1366 nt
Filed under: Vulpes vulpes (red fox)
Lineage: Eukaryota; Metazoa; Chordata; Mammalia; Carnivora; Canidae
Description: lncRNA (ENSVVUG00000020774.1)
Source: RNAcentral